CUAGCCGUAAACGAUGGAUACUAGGCGUUGUGAGUAUCGACCCUCACAGCGUCGUAGCUAACGCGUUAAGUAUCCCGCCUGGGGAGUACGCGCGCAAGCGUGAAACUCAAAGGAAUUGACGGGGGCCCGCACAAGCGGUGGAGUAUGUGGUUUAAUUCGAUGCGACGCGAAGAACCUUACCAGGACUUGACAUGUCGCGAAUCUCAGGGAAACUUGAGAGUGCCUUCGGGAGCGCGAACACAGGUGGUGC
This 250-nucleotide ribosomal RNA is filed under the name uncultured Chroococcidiopsis sp. RNAcentral describes it as "partial 16S ribosomal RNA". It matches the Rfam family "Bacterial small subunit ribosomal RNA", at positions 796 to 1044 of the family's 1533-position model. The record is from RNAcentral. Lineage: Bacteria; Bacillati; Cyanobacteriota; Cyanophyceae; Chroococcidiopsidales; Chroococcidiopsidaceae.